CAUGAUACCCCGCCAUACCCCAUACCCCCAUAACCCCAUUUACCCCCUACCCCCUAGCCCCCCUUACCCCAUAGCCCCCCAUAACCCUUCCUUUACCCCAUAACCCCCCAUAGCCCCAUAACCCCCCACAACCCCAUAACUCCCAUAACCCCCAUUACCCCCCAUAACCCAUUAGGCCCCCGCAUAACCCCCCAUACCCCAUAACCCCCCAUAGACCCCCAUACCCCCAUAGACCCCAUAACCCCCCAUAACCCCAUAGCCCCCCAUGACCCCAUAGCCCCCCAUAACCCUUCCUUUACCCCAUAACCCCCCCACAGACCCCAUAACCCCCCAUACCUAUAACCCCCCUAACCUCCAUAGCCCCCCAUAACCUUCCUUACCCCAUAACUCCCCGACCCCAUACCCCCAAGCCCCAUAACCCCCACCCAUAGCCCAUGACCACACACAUCGCCCCCCUCGCACCCCCGUCCCCUAUACAACCCACCACAUCAUCCUAUCAACGUAAUACCAUGAACCCCCCCCGACCCCCGCAUAACCCCCAUUCACCCCAUCAGCUCCCAUAACCCUCUCUAUGGGGUGAUAUGGGAUUCUGUGGGGGUUCUAUAGGGUCAUAUGGAGGUUAUGGGGUUCUAUGGAGAUUACAUGGGGUUAUAUGGGAUUCUAUGGGGUUAUAUGGGGUCAUAUUGGGGUUUAUGGGGGUUCUAUGGGGUUCUAUGGGGAUUAUAUGGGGUUAUAUGAAGGUUAUAUGAGGGUUAUGGGAUUCUAUGGGGUUCUAUGGGGUUCUAUGGGGUUCUAUGGGAUUAUAUGGGGUUAUAUGAAAGUUAUAUGGGAGUUAUGGGAUUCUAUGGGGUUCUAUGGGGGUUACAUGGGGUUCUGUGGGAUUCUAUGGGAUUCUAUGGGGUUAUAUGGGGUUAUAUGGGGUUCUAUGGGAUUAUAUGGGGUUAUAUGAAGGUUAUAUGGGGUUAUAUGGGGUUCUAUGGGGUUCUAUGUUGUUCUAUGUGGUUAUGUGGGGUUCUAUGGGUUUCUAUGGAAUUAUACAGGGUUCUAUGGGGUUAUAUGGGAUUCUAUGGGGUUCUAUGGGGUUAUAUGGGAUUCUAUGGGGUUAUAUGGGGUUCUAUGGGGUUAUAUGGGGGUUAUAUGGGGUUAUAUGAAUGUUAUAUGGGGUUAUAUGGGGUUAUAUGGGAUUCUGUGGGGGUUCUAUGGGAUUCUAUGGGGUUAUAUGGGGUUAUAUGAAUGUUAUAUGGGGUUAUAUGGGGUUCUAUGGGAUUCUAUGGGGUUCUAUGGAAUUCUAUGGGGUUCUAUGGGGUUAUAUGGGGUUCUAUGGGGGUUAUAUGGGGUUCUAUGGAAUUCUAUGGGGGUUAUAUGGGAUUCUAUGGGGUUCUAUGGGGUUCUAUGGGGUUAUAUGGGAUUCUAUGGGGUUAUUUGGGGUUCUAUGGGGUUAUAUGAAAUUCUAUGGGGUUAUAUGGGGUUCUAUGGGGGUUCUAUGGGGUCAUGA
Molecule: long non-coding RNA, 1495 nt
Filed under: Coturnix japonica (Japanese quail)
Lineage: Eukaryota; Metazoa; Chordata; Aves; Galliformes; Phasianidae
Description: lncRNA (ENSCJPG00005002723.1)
Source: RNAcentral